Molecule: ribosomal RNA, 497 nt
Filed under: uncultured bacterium
Lineage: Bacteria
Description: partial 16S ribosomal RNA
Rfam family: Bacterial small subunit ribosomal RNA
Source: RNAcentral
GGUGAACGCUGGCGGCGUGCCUAAUACAUGCAAGUCGAGCGAACAGAUGAGGAGCUUGCUCCUCUGACGUUAGCGGCGGACGGGUGAGUAACACGUGUAUAACCUACCUAUAAGACUGGUAUAACUUCGGGAAACCGGAUCUAAUACCGGAUAAUCUAUUGAACCGUAUGGUUCAAUAGUGAAAGACGGUUUUGCUGUCACUUAUAGAUGGAUCUGCGCCGCAUUAGCUAGUUGGUAAGGUAACGGCUUACCAAGGCAACGAUGCGUAGCCGACCUGAGAGGGUGGUCGGCCACACUGGAACUGAGACACGGUCCAGACGCCUACGGGAGGCAGCAGUAGGGAAUCUUCCGCAAUGGGCGAAAGCCUGACGGAGCAACGCCGCGUGAGUGAUGAAGGUCUUCGGAUCGUAAAACUCUGUUAUUAGGGAAGAACAAAUGUGUAAGUAACUAUGCACGUCUUGACGGUACCUAAUCAGAAAGCCACGGCUAACUACGUG